AGAGUUUGAUCCUGGCUCAGAUUGAACGCUGGCGGAAUGCUUUACACAUGCAAGUCGAACGGCAGCACGGGGCAACCUGGUGGCGAGUGGCGAACGGGUGAGUAAUACAUCGGAACGUGCCCAAUCGUGGGGGAUAACGUAGUGAAAGUUACGCUAAUACCGCAUACGAUCUACGGAUGAAAGCGGGGGAUCGCAAGACCUCGCGCGAGUGGAGCGGCCGAUGUCAGAUUAGGUAGUUGGUGGGGUAAAGGCUCACCAAGCCAACGAUCUGUAGCUGGUCUGAGAGGACGACCAGCCACACUGGAACUGAGACACGGUCCAGACUCCUACGGGAGGCAGCAGUGGGGAAUUUUGGACAAUGGGCGCAAGCCUGAUCCAGCCAUUCCGCGUGCAGGAUGAAGGCCUUCGGGUUGUAAACUGCUUUUGUACGGAACGAAACGGCGAGCUCUAAUACAGUUUGCUAAUGACGGUACCGUAAGAAUAAGCACCGGCUAACUACGUG
This 502-nucleotide ribosomal RNA is filed under the name uncultured bacterium. Its description in RNAcentral is "bacterial SSU rRNA". It matches the Rfam family "Bacterial small subunit ribosomal RNA", at positions 8 to 507 of the family's 1533-position model. The record is from RNAcentral.